Molecule: ribosomal RNA, 202 nt
Filed under: uncultured bacterium
Lineage: Bacteria
Description: partial 16S ribosomal RNA
Rfam family: Bacterial small subunit ribosomal RNA
Source: RNAcentral
GCAGUCUGCAACUCGACUGCAUGAAGCCGGAAUCGCUAGUAAUCGCGGAUCAGAAUGCCGCGGUGAAUACGUUCCCGGGUCUUGUACACACCGCCCGUCACACCAUGGGAGUCGGAAAUGCCCGAAGCCGGUGGCCUAACCGAUAAGGGAGGAGCCGUCGAAGGCAGGUCUGAUGACUGGGGUGAAGUCGUAACAAGGUAUC